GCGGCGUGCCUAAUACAUGCAAGUCGAGCGACUUGUCCUUUUUGGACUUGGAGCGGCGGACGGGUGAGUAACACGUGGAUAACCUAUCCAAUAGACGGGGAUUACCUCUGGAAACGGAGGUUAAUACCGGAUACGCCUCCUUGAUCGCAUGGUCGAGGUGGGAAAGGUUCCUUCGGGAGCCGCUUUUGGAGGGAUCCGCGGCGCAUUAGCUAGUUGGUUGGGGUAAUGGCCCACCAAGGCGACGAUGCGUAGCCGGCUUGGGAGAGCGGACGGCCACACUGGGACUGAGACACGGCCCAGACUCCUACGGGAGGCAGCAGUAGGGAAUUUUCCGCAAUGGGCGCAAGCCUGACGGAGCGACGCCGCGUGGGUGAAGACGGCCUUCGGGUUGUAAAGCCCUGUUCAUCGGGAAGAAGAAAUGACGGUACCGGUGAAGAAAGCCCCGGCUAACUACGUGCCAGCAGCCGCGGUAAUACGUAGGGGGCGAGCGUUGUCCGGGAUAAUUGGGCGUAAAGGGCGUGUAGGCGGAUACAUAAGUCGGACGUGAAAGGCGCGGGCUCAACCCGUGUAAGCGUUCGAAACGGUGCAUCUUGAGUGCGGUA
RNAcentral lists this ribosomal RNA (602 nucleotides) under uncultured Pasteuria sp. RNAcentral describes it as "bacterial SSU rRNA". It matches the Rfam family "Bacterial small subunit ribosomal RNA", at positions 39 to 653 of the family's 1533-position model. The record is from RNAcentral. Lineage: Bacteria; Bacillati; Bacillota; Bacilli; Caryophanales; Pasteuriaceae.